This is a long non-coding RNA of Oncorhynchus tshawytscha (Chinook salmon), 3819 nucleotides long. The record is from Ensembl. Lineage: Eukaryota; Metazoa; Chordata; Actinopteri; Salmoniformes; Salmonidae.
CGAUGAAUAAACUAAAACGACAUCUAGACCGAUGAAUAAACUAAAACAACAUCUUUACCGAUGAAUAAACUAAAACGACAUCUAGACCGAUGAAUAAACUGAAAAGACAUCUAGACCGAUGAACAAACUAAAACAACAUCUUUACCGAUGAAUAAACUAAAACGACAUCUAGACCGAUGAAUAAACUAAAACGACAUCUAGACUGAUGAAUAAACUAAAACGACAUCUUUACCGAUGAAUAAACUAAAACGACAUCUAGACCGAUGAAUAAACUGAAAAGACAUCUAGACCGAUGAAUAAACUAAAACGACAUCUAGACCGAUGAAUAAACUAAAACGACAUCUUUACCAAUGAAUAAACUAAAACGACAUCUAGACCGAUGAAUAAACUAAAACGACAUCUAGACCGAUGAAUAAACUAAAACGACAUCUUUACCGAUGAAUAAACUAAAACGACAUCUAGACCGAUGAAUAAACUAAAACGACAUCUUUACCGAUGAAUAAACUAAAACGACAUCUAGACCGAUGAAUAAACUAAAACAACAUCUUUACCGAUGAAUAAACUAAAACAACAUCUAGACCGAUGAAUAAACUAAAACGACAUCUUUACCGAUGAAUAAACUAAAACGACAUCUAGACCGAUGAAUAAACUGAAAAGACAUCUAGACCGAUGAAUAAACUAAAACGACAUCUAGACCGAUGAAUAAACUAAAACGACAUCUAGACCGAUGAAUAAACUAAAACGACAUCUAGACCGAUGAAUAAACUAAAACGACAUCUAGACCGAUGAAUAAACUAAAACAACAUCUUUACCGAUGAAUAAACUAAAACGACAUCUAGACCGAUGAAUAAACUAAAACUACAUCUUUACCGAUGAAUAAACUAAAACGACAUCUAGACCGAUGAAUAAACUAAAACGACAUCUAGACCGAUGAAUAAACUAAAACGACAUCUUUACCGAUGAAUAAACUAAAACGACAUCUUUACCGAUGAAUAAACUAAAACGACAUCUUUACCGAUGAAUAAACUAAAACGACAUCUUUACCGAUGAAUAAACUAAAACGACAUCUAGACCGAUGAAUCAACUACGUCACGCUGGUGUAAAGGAUUUUGGAGACAGGCGCAGGAAUACACAAUAAGGGUUUUUAAUACACCCUAAACAAACACGUAUACAAAAACACUGGGCUGAACCUAAACAAGAGAGGGCACAAAUAUAACAUGCUAAUCAGGGGAAAUGGGAACCAGGUGUGUGUUAUCAGACAAGACAGUCCGGGGUUGAUGAUAAUGAAUCCCGUUCAGUGAAACCUAGAAGUCAGUAGUGAUGUAGACCUCCGGAACUGGUGAAAAGAAUGAGCAGCAGUACCGGGGGGAUCCGUGACAAAUAAACUAAAACUACAUCUAGACAGAUUUAAUAAAGUAAAACUACAUCUGGACCGAUGAAUCAACUACAUCUAGACCGAUGAAUCAACUAAAACUACAUCUAGACAGAUUUACUGAAAUAAAACUACAUCUAGACCGAUUUACUAAAGUAAAACUACAUCUGGACCGAUGAAUCAACUAAAAGUACAUCUAGACCGAUUUACUAAAAUAAAACUACAUCUGGACUGAUGAAUCAACUACAUCUAGACCGAUGAAUCAACUAAAACUACAUCUAGACCGAUGAAUCAACUAAAACUACAUCUAGAUCGAUUACUAAAAUAAAACUACGUCUAGACAGAUUUACUGAAAUAAAACUACAUCUAGACAGAUUUACUAAAAUAAAACUAUAUCUAGACAGAUUUACUAAAAUAAAACUACAUCUAGACCGAUGAAUCAACUAAAACUACAUCUAGAUCGAUUACUAAAAUAAAACUACAUCUAGACAGAUUUACUGAAAUAAAACUACAUCUAGACAGAUUUACUAAAAUAAAACUACAUCUAGACCGAUGAAUCAACUAAAACUACAUCUAGAUCGAUUACUAAAAUAAAACUACAUCUAGACAGAUUUACUGAAAUAAAACUACAUCUAGACCGAUGAAUCAACUAAAACUACAUCUAGAUCGAUUACUAAAAUAAAACUACAUCUAGACAGAUUUACUGAAAUAAAACUACAUCUAGACAGAUUUACUGAAAUAAAACUACAUGUAGACAGAUUUACUAAAAUAAAACUACAUCUAGACCGAUGAAUCAACUAAAACUACAUCUAGACCGAUUUACUAAAAUAAAACUACAUCUGGACAGAUUUACUAAAAUAAAACUACAUCUGGACAGAUUUACUGAAAUAAAACUACAUCUAGACAGAUUUACUGAAAUAAAACUACAUCUAGACAGAUUUACUAAAAUAAAACUACAUCUAGACCGAUGAAUCAACUAAAACUACAUCUAGACCGAUUUACUAAAAUAAAACUACAUCUGGACAGAUUUACUGAAAUAAAACUACAUCUAGACCGAUGAAUCAACUAAAACUACAUCUAGACCGAUUUACUAAAAUAAAACUACAUCUGGACAGAUUUACUGAAAUAAAACUACAUCUAGACAGAUUAACUAAAAUAAAACUACAGUAUAGACUGAUUCUUGCCCAGAAGGUUGUGAGUUUGUGUCUCACCUUUGACCUUUACGCUUCUCCCGCCGUUUCAUCACACAAGUGGGAUUUGUUCAUGAUUCUAACACCAACGAAAAAAUGGUUCGUCCUCCUCAGUCUUUCAAAUCAGAUGAACCUACAGCUGUGCUUCAUCAAUGACAGCGGGAGCGAAGAAGAGGAGGAGGAUUCUGGGGUAACGAUUUGCACAAAGAAUUCCAAAAUGGUGGUAAAGAAUGCUUCCGGCGUGCAGGUGUCCCAGCAGCCCCAGUCCCCAGCUGCAACCAAAAGCAAAUCAUCAGGCUUCAAGGCUGCGCUGAGUGCACUCAAAAACAAGCUGAGAACAGAACAGAAACGGAAGAGCCUAGUGUGUGGUGAUCCACUGUUGAAGAAUAGAAAGCGAGACCAUAGUGACCUGCAGGCCUCCAGUCUCAAAGAACUCAACACUCACAGAAACUCUCUCAAUAAGGCAAUACAAGACCUGAGCACUGAGCUGGUGGUUCACCUCCAGGCUCGAGACCAGCUGAGGACGGAACAGGACGCCAUGCUGCUGGAGGUACAGGAUAUGACAUCACUCUGACCCAGUCCCAGGCAAGAUGGGGGACAGUUUGUGCUGCAGAUUUCGUACUAGAAAUUCCUCUCCGGGGUUCAAUCUCUAUGACAAGGCCCAUCACUAUAGAAUCCUUCUAAUCAUUCUAAUUCUAUGGUGAGUGUCAUCACAUAAAAUGGAAUCCUGGUGUCGGUGAUGUCACAAUUAAUCGAUGACGGAUUAGACGCCGAAAGGAUGAGUCAAAUCACUGUGAAGAGACUGCAUCACUCCUAAAGACUGUUGAAUUGAAUUGCACAGCGUUUUCGUUUUUCUUUUUAUACCCAGUGAGCAAAACUGGUUGAAAUGACAUCAUUACACCCAGUUUUACAUUCAUUAUGACAUCACGUCGACCAGUUUUGUUUUCCCUCUGUGUUUUUGUUUGUUUGUGGGAAAUCAAAUGUGUAUGUCUGGACUGUUAAUGUUUUAGUGUUUUAGGGGGAAAUAACUGGAAUAUUAUAAGGGAUGAAUAAAUUACCAUUGCUUCCCAUGGAUCGAUCUAGCUCUAAUGUCAUUGUCAUCCAAGUGUUGAAAUGUAAUGGUUGUUUGCUAGCACAUUAUUCAAAUUAUGCGUCAUAUUAUACCAAAUAAAGCUGAUUCUGAUUGCAUAAUAAUCAUCUAACCACUAGGCUACCGGGGCGGCAGGUAGACUAGUGGUUAGAGUGCAGGGGCGGCAG